RNAcentral lists this unclassified non-coding RNA (220 nucleotides) under plant metagenome. RNAcentral's name for it is "partial contains small subunit ribosomal RNA, internal transcribed spacer 1, and 5.8S ribosomal RNA". The record is from RNAcentral.
UCUCCGUAGGUGAACCUGCGGAGGGAUCAUUACAGAGUUCGUGCCCACACGGGUAGAUCUCCCACCCUGUGUUAUUAUACCUUUGUUGCUUUGGCGGGCCGCCCUCGGCUACCGGCCCCGGCUGGUACGCGCCCGCCAGAGGACCCCAAACUCUGAAUGUUAGUGUCGUCUGAGUACUAUACAAUAGUUAAAACUUUCAACAACGGAUCUCUUGGUUCUG